RNAcentral lists this ribosomal RNA (451 nucleotides) under uncultured bacterium. Its description in RNAcentral is "partial 16S ribosomal RNA". It matches the Rfam family "Bacterial small subunit ribosomal RNA", at positions 29 to 523 of the family's 1533-position model. The record is from RNAcentral.
AACGAACGCUGGCGGCAGGCCUAAUACAUGCAAGUCGAACGGAUGUAGCAAUACAUUAGUGGCGCACGGGUGCCUAACGCGUGGGAACAUACCCUUGAGUAAGGAAUAAUGUCUGGAAACGGACACUAAUACCUUAUAAUGACUUCGGUCCAAAGAUUUAUCGCUCAAGGAUUGGCCCGCGUCUGAUUAGCUAGUUGGUGAGGUAACGGCUCACCAAGGCGACGAUCAGUAGCUGGUCUGAGAGGAUGAUCAGCCACACUGGGACUGAGACACGGCCCAGACUCCUACGGGAGGCAGCAGUAAGGAAUAUUGGACAAUGGGGGAAACCCUGAUCCAGCCAUGCCGCGUGAGUGAAGAAGGCCUUAGGGUUGUAAAGCUCUUUCAAUAGUGAAGAUAAUGACGGUAGCUAUAGAAGAAGCCCCGGCUAAAUUCGUGCCAGCCGCCGCAGUAA